GCUCAGUAACACGUGGAUAACCUACCCUUAGGACCGGGAUAACCUUGGGAAACUGAGGAUAAUACUGGAUAGGCAAUUAUUCCUGCAAUGGUUUUUUGUUUAAAUGUUUUUUCGCCUAAGGAUGGGUCUGCGGCCGAUUAGGUAGUUGGUUAGGUAAUGGCUUACCAAGCCGUUGAUCGGUACGGGUUGUGAGAGCAAGAGCCCGGAGAUGGAACCUGAGACAAGGUUCCAGGCCCUACGGGGUGCAGCAGGCGCGAAACCUCCGCAAUGUGAGAAAUCGCGACGGGGGGAUCCCAAGUGCCAUUCUUAACGGGAUGGCUUUUCAUUAGUGUAAAGAGCUUUUGGAAUAAGGGCUGGGCAAGACCGGUGCCAGCCGCCGCGGUAACACCGGCAGCUCUAGUGGUAGCAGUUUUUAUUGGGCCUAAAGCGUCCGUAGCCGGUUUAAUAAGUCUCUGGUGAAAUCCUGUAGCUUAACUGUGGGAAUUGCUGGAGAUACUAUUAGACUUGAGACCGGGAGAGGUUAGAGGUACUCCCAGGGUAGAGGUGAAAUUCUGUAAUCCUGGGAGGACCGCCUGUUGCGAAGGCGUCUAACUGGAACGGUUCUGACGGUGAGGGACGAAAGUUAGGGGCGCGAACCGGAUUAGAUACCCGGGUAGUCCUAACCGUAAACGAUGCGGACUUGGUGUUGGGGUGGCUUUGAGCUGCUCCAGUGCCG
RNAcentral lists this ribosomal RNA (715 nucleotides) under uncultured archaeon. Its description in RNAcentral is "bacterial SSU rRNA". It matches the Rfam family "Archaeal small subunit ribosomal RNA", at positions 88 to 803 of the family's 1478-position model. The record is from RNAcentral.